This 349-nucleotide unclassified non-coding RNA is filed under the name soil metagenome. RNAcentral's name for it is "partial contains 5.8S ribosomal RNA, internal transcribed spacer 2, and large subunit ribosomal RNA". The stretch from base 1 to 120 matches the Rfam family "5.8S ribosomal RNA", at positions 35 to 154 of the family's 154-position model. The record is from RNAcentral.
GAUGAAGAACGUAGCGAAAUGCGAUAAGUAAUGUGAAUUGCAGAAUUCAGUGAAUCAUCGAAUCUUUGAACGCACAUUGCGCCCGCCAGUAUUCUGGCGGGCAUGCCUGUCCGAGCGUCAUUUCAACCCUCGAACCCCUCCGGGGGGUCGGCGUUGGGGAUCGGCCCUUUACCGGCCGGCCCCGAAAUACAGUGGCGGUCUCGCCGCAGCCUCUCCUGCGCAGUAGUUUGCACACUCGCACCGGGAGCGCGGCGCAGUCCAAUGCCGUAAAACACCCAACUUUCUGAAAUGUUGACCUCGGAUCAGGUAGGAAUACCCGUUGAACUUAAGCAUAUCAAUAAGCGGAGGA